GAUUAGCUUGUUGGUGGGGUAACGGCUCACCUAGGCGACAAUGCCUAGCUGGUCUGACAAGAUGACCGCCACUCUGGAACUGAGACACGGUCCAGACUCCUACGGGAGGCAGCAGUGGGGAAUAUUGCACAAUGGGCGCAAGCCUGAUGCACCCAUGCCGCGUGUAUGAAGAAGGCCUUCGGGUUGUAAAGUACUUUCAGCGGGGAGGGAAGGGAGUAAAGUUAAUACCUUUGCUCAUUGACUUUACCCGCAGAACAAGCACCGGCUAACUCCGUGCCCUCAGCCGCGGUAAUACGGUGAAGGGUGCAAGCGUUAAUCGGAAUUACUGGGCGUAAAGCGCACGCAGGCGGUUUGUUAAGUCAGAUGUGAAAUCCCCGGGCUCAACCUUGGGGAACUGCAUCUGAUACUGGCAAGCUUGAGUCUCGUAGAGUGGGGGAUAGAAUUCCUGGUGUUGCCGGUGUAAAUGCGUAGAAAAUCUGGAAGAAUACCAGUGGCGAAAGCGGCCCCCUUGGACUAAGACUGACUGCUCAUGUGCGAAAAGCGUGGGGAGCAAACAGGAUUUAGAUACCCUGGUAAUCCCCGCGCCCGUACACGAUGUCGACUUGUGAGGUUGUGCCCUUUAAGCGUGGCUUCCCGAGCUAACGCGUUAUAUCGACCGCCUGGGGGAGUACGGGCCGCGAGGUUAAAACUCAAAUGAAUUUGACAGGGGGCCCGCACAAGCGGUGGAGCAUGUGGUUUUAAUUCUAUGCAACGCGAAGAACCUCACCUGGUCUUGACAUCCACUGAAGUUUUCUGAGAUGGAUAUGUGUCCUUCGUUGAACCGUCAGACAGAGUACUGGCAUGCUGUCUCCGUCUCCUGCUGCGAAAUGUAAUGUUAAGUCCCGGUACGAGCACAACCCUUAUCCUUUGUCAUCUGUGGUCUGGCCGGGAAUCCAACCGGGACUACCAGUGGUAAACUGCCGGAACGUGGAGCUGACGGGAAAGCAUCAUGGCCCAUACGACCAGGAUUACACACCCGCUUCAAUGGCCCAUACAAACAGAAGCUUCCUUGCGAGAGCAAGCUGACCUCAUAAACUGCGCCGUAGUCCGGAUUGGAGACUGCAACUCGACUCCAUGAAGUGGGAAUCGCUAGUAAUCGUGGAUCAGAAUGCCACGGUGAAUACGUUCCCGGCCCUUGUACACACCGCCCGUCACA
This 1195-nucleotide ribosomal RNA is filed under the name Staphylococcus saprophyticus. RNAcentral's name for it is "bacterial SSU rRNA". It matches the Rfam family "Bacterial small subunit ribosomal RNA", at positions 239 to 1401 of the family's 1533-position model. Lineage: Bacteria; Bacillati; Bacillota; Bacilli; Caryophanales; Staphylococcaceae. The record is from RNAcentral.